UCCCUGGUGGCUCAGACAGUAAAGCAUCUGCCUGCAGUGCGGGAGACCCAGGUUCGAUCCCUGGGUUGGGAA
Molecule: transfer RNA, 72 nt
Filed under: Ovis aries (sheep)
Lineage: Eukaryota; Metazoa; Chordata; Mammalia; Artiodactyla; Bovidae
Also listed under: 1 other name
Rfam family: tRNA
About the family: Transfer RNA (tRNA) molecules are approximately 80 nucleotides in length. Their secondary structure includes four short double-helical elements and three loops (D, anti-codon, and T loops). Further hydrogen bonds mediate the characteristic L-shaped molecular structure. tRNAs have two regions of fundamental functional importance: the anti-codon, which is responsible for specific mRNA codon recognition, and the 3' end, to which the tRNAs corresponding amino acid is attached (by aminoacyl-tRNA synthetases). tRNAs cope with the degeneracy of the genetic code in two manners: having more than one tRNA (with a specific anti-codon) for a particular amino acid; and 'wobble' base-pairing, i.e. permitting non-standard base-pairing at the 3rd anti-codon position.
Source: Rfam by way of RNAcentral